RNAcentral lists this ribosomal RNA (735 nucleotides) under uncultured Fusobacterium sp. RNAcentral's name for it is "bacterial SSU rRNA". It matches the Rfam family "Bacterial small subunit ribosomal RNA", at positions 28 to 776 of the family's 1533-position model. Lineage: Bacteria; Fusobacteriati; Fusobacteriota; Fusobacteriia; Fusobacteriales; Fusobacteriaceae. The record is from RNAcentral.
GAUGAACGCUGACAGAAUGCUUAACACAUGCAAGUCUACUUGAAUUUGGGUUUUUAACUUAGAUUUGGGUGGCGGACGGGUGAGUAACGCGUAAAGAACUUGCCUCACAGCUAGGGACAACAUUUAGAAAUGAAUGCUAAUACCUAAUAUUAUGAUAAUAGGGCAUCCUAUAAUUAUGAAAGCUAUAAGCGCUGUGAGAGAGCUUUGCGUCCCAUUAGCUAGUUGGAGAGGUAACGGCUCACCAAGGCGAUGAUGGGUAGCCGGCCUGAGAGGGUGAUCGGCCACAAGGGGACUGAGACACGGCCCUUACUCCUACGGGAGGCAGCAGUGGGGAAUAUUGGACAAUGGACCGAGAGUCUGAUCCAGCAAUUCUGUGUGCACGAUGAAGUUUUUCGGAAUGUAAAGUGCUUUCAGUUGGGAAGAAAGAAAUGACGGUACCAACAGAAGAAGUGACGGCUAAAUACGUGCCAGCAGCCGCGGUAAUACGUAUGUCACGAGCGUUAUCCGGAUUUAUUGGGCGUAAAGCGCGUCUAGGUGGUUAUAUAAGUCUGAUGUGAAAAUGCAGGGCUCAACUCUGUAUUGCGUUGGAAACUGUAUAACUAGAGUACUGGAGAGGUAAGCGGAACUACAAGUGUAGAGGUGAAAUUCGUAGAUAUUUGUAGGAAUGCCGAUGGGGAAGCCAGCUUACUGGACAGAUACUGACGCUGAAGCGCGAAAGCGUGGGUAGCAAACAGG